AGGGCAGUUCUCGGGUGACACACCCUGGAAUCAGGCUCCCUCCUCUCUGGUUCCAGUGUGCAUGCGUCAGCCGAGAACCACAGCUG
RNAcentral lists this microRNA precursor (86 nucleotides) under Eptesicus fuscus (big brown bat). RNAcentral describes it as "microRNA efu-mir-9223c precursor (efu-mir-9223c-1)". It matches the Rfam family "mir-9223 microRNA precursor family". The record is from miRBase by way of RNAcentral. Lineage: Eukaryota; Metazoa; Chordata; Mammalia; Chiroptera; Vespertilionidae.